UAUUUCAUUCACUUUAUAAUCAGGUCGGCCGCUUUGGUGGUUUACUUGCUGAUCGUGCAACUCAGAAACUGACUCCGCGCAUUUAAUAAAACAAUGUUUCGGCAGUGGGAGCACUAGUAUGCUAUGUAGUUUUAAGGUACCAGAACGUAUUUAAUUAGUUACUUGUUUAUUCGAAGGCUGAUAGUAUACCAAACAGCUUUUAUCUAUUUUUGUAAGUAUUAAGAAGAAAUAGUUUAUUUUUUCACAUUGUCAGUCAUCAGCAGUAUGAAUUCGUUGACUCUGAGCUUCGAUGUAGUGUAUAUAACGAUAUAAUACUGAGUUGCGGUAAGAAUCAAUCGUAUCAGAAGAAUAAAAAACGCCCUAAAUAUAGUAAGUGUUCAAAUAAAUUUGGAUGCACAGGGCAAAGACGCAGGAAGGACAGGAAAAGACUUUUGUGGAAUCGUUCAAGGUUUUAUAAGAACUGCUCUCGAAGAUCAACUUCUUUCACUAAUCGUAGAGCCAAAAAUUUGAACAGGAUUAAGUCGUCUUUUUGGGGUAUUUAAAGUAAAAAAACUCAUUUAAAUGUCAAAGCCGUUUGUUAUGGGGUGACAUCAGCUUUUAUUCCGCGGGCAAUGAAAGGUGUUUCACUCUGCUAUUCAAAAUGUAUCAUGCAGUUCUUGGAAUUGGGAUUCUUAUACAAACUUUUCAAUUGUUCGUCAUUACGCAAUGCCAGUGCCCAGAGUACUUUCGGUAUUUUCGCAACGAGACCACCGGAGAAAUCAUGGGAAUAGUAGAGAUUCAUGUACCGCCGAAAAAUGUUCCUUUACAUUUGCGUGUAGUUUUAAGCGUCGACACAGUCCUUCCUACAAAAUACGUUGGGCGCAUAGAGUUAGAGAAAUCAAAAGAAGAGUCUAUGCGACUGGUUCUCCAAGGCAUGCCUAUUUAUUAUCGGAUCUACUUUCCCGUCCGGCACCCUAUUCCAGUAGUCACGAGUAUCACGCUGAAUGGCGUUCUAUUCUGCAGAGGACUACCAGCAAUGGGGAUGAUCGUGACGAAUAUGAUAUUGGAGCACACCCUGUUCCCACCGCGAGUGAUUAUUCCUCUAUCGGAGCAACUGCUCAAUUUCAUUUCGAAUCACGGAAAUUCUUCAACCAUUCUCGUGAAACCAACCCCUUCUACGGACAGACAAACAACGGCAAUGGUACCUGACAAACAGGAAAUUCCACCGACCGUGGUACCGACAAGUGAUUUGCAAUUCGAUCGUCCAUCUAAGCCCAUGACAGUAGAUUUGACGUGCGGAUCAUCAGGAGAAUCCCAUCUAGUAAUCACAAAUAGCGAAGUGGUUACGCCAACUAUGUGGCCAUGGUUAGCUGGCGUUUUUCUAAUGAAAGAUGAAUUAGAAUUCAAAUGCAACGGAAAUCUCAUUUCGAGACAAUUUGUUUUGACAGUGGCUCACUGUUUGAAAGAUGACGGCGAGAAUAUACCACCCAGCAUGUUGGUAGUAUCUCUUGGCCGUUUCGAUUUAUAUGUUUGGGAUGAGCAAGGAUCUUUGAACGUAGACGUACUCGAGUACAAAAUUCAUCCAGAUUACGUAAAUCCUCUGAGUGCCGAUUCUGAUUUGGCGAUAAUCAAGCUUAUGGAUCGGAUUGAGUAUACCCCGAGAAUUCGUCCCUUGUGUCUUUGGAUGGGAAAACCAGACCUUGACAGAGUUGUCGGAACAUUUGGCUACGUAGUCGGAUGGAGCAAAGACCAGAAUAAACAGCAGUCGAACGAGCCACGAAUGUCUAAAGCACCAAUUGUAUCGCAGGAAGACUGUCUGAGGAGUAACGUUGCAUUUCUCGACGCAACGUCUAACAGGACGUUUUGCGCUGGUACAAGAGAUGGUGGCGGUUCUUGCAUUGCCGAUAGCGGUAGCGGAUUCGUAAUGUAUCAUACACGUAUAAGUCGUUACCACUUACGAGGAAUAGUUUCCUUAUCAACGAUCGACGCAAGAACAAGAUAUUGCGAUUAUAAGGAAUACGUCGUUUACGUGGAUAUCGCUAAGUAUUUGUCUUGGAUUCAUCAAGAGAUGAACUCCUGAAGCAAUAACACGUAUCGAUUUUAAAUGAUGGAUUUGGUAUUACAUAAAAAAUCCUUUUUCUUUUAGAUCUGAUACGGCAAAAUGGUUAAAAAGUGGCUCACCUAAAUUCAUAAGAGCAUCUAAGCUCACUUGAUAGGAAUGCAUGAAAUAACAAUGGUGACCUCGACGCUGUUCGUGCCUUUUUUAUCGCUAGGAUAAAUUGUCACGCCGUAAUUGCGCUCGACAAACGUUUAAUUAAAACUUUCUUCGGAGUCGUGGUGUAAUUAUACAUCUAGAAAACAUUCUCAACGGAACCAAUCUCUUCUAACGAAUACAUUCAUACCUAUGCUUCGCCAGUGCAGUUGCAGUAUGCAGUUUUGUAAAUGAACCAAUAAAUAGAAUCGCUGAGAAUCUUCGGCAAUCAGUCAUGUUUUUAUUAUACCAGCGCAAAUUGAUUUUCGAUUCGUUAUCGGCAGUUUUGCUUUCUUUAAUACUUUUUCAUCUGGCGGUUAGCGGCAAUGAAGUCACUUUACCAUCCGUUCAACGGUAAUAAUAUUUUUUUUUUUCGACAACGUUUAUUUUUGAUUUUCGCUUUGAUCGCUUCAAAUUUCUAGUGCACAGUUUUCUUGAACGUGGAUUACCGAUUUAUCGCUCCGAAAAUAAUAUGUACGCGCUUUUUAAACUAUUUUUAAACGUUGAUUCUAGUGAGAAGAUCGAUGAAGCAAUUAAGAUCAUAGGUGACUUUCUUCGAAGUGAGAAGGGAAUCGAGUGGUUAGCUGAAUCAAUAAAAGAACGCAAAUCGCAGUUAACGACUAUCGACCUAGUAAUAAAUAUUUUGGAAACCCCUUCUUUAGAGGGUCAAGUGUGGGAUGCUGCGAAGGUUUUAAAGGAAGCUCUAGAACUAAAGACCGAUAGCAUUGACUUGAAUUUAAAUAAAAAAGGUGCAAAAAGUAACAGUUCGGAGGAAAAUUGGAAUAAUGCAGUGACAGAUGUUGAGGACGAAGACGACAUUUUAUGUUUAUACAGGAAGAACAGUCAUAAUCCUCAAAUGAAAAAAUCUGAGGAUUGGAGAAAAUUGUUAGAUAUUGCACCUGGAUACACUAUUCAUUCAGUUACUGAUAAAGGCUCCAAGUAUCUUAUAUGUUUGAAAAAAAUUAAUAUAACAGAAACGCUUACAACGACGUUGCCGACUUCAAUAAUUACGACGUUACCGAAUCUAACAGAGGAAGUCCAAACAAGCAAGAGUGAAAUCAAUGAUAAUUUCUAUACGAUGCAUAGCAGAAGCUUUAAUCAAACAGCAUCAGUUGAAAAUAAAAAUUCUACUGAAAAUUUUGAUAACCAGACUAUUCGAAGAGGGCUAAACCGUCACCACGAUGAGAAUACCAGUAAUUCUGGAGAUGACUUUGAAGAGGAUUGUUCUACCAGUGAACAAGAUGAAAGUGACAGUGAUGUUGCUCAAGAUAUUAGUUUGAAAAACGUUACCCCUCUAUAUUCGGGAAAAUCAAUCAACCACCUGCCAGUACAAUCUAGAAGAGGAAAUCCUUUAAAAGAAGAACUCUCAAGUCGAAAUAAUAGUAUUGACAAAAAUAAUAACGUUGAAAGAUCUUUGAAAGAUAAUAAAUUAUUACAUCCUCAACACCAUAGAAAGAAGCACGAGAGAAACUGGAAUGGAUUAUUGGAACCUCAAAAAACCAAAAGACGCCAUAAACAAAUUCGUGACAAUAUUAAGAAGUCAAGAAAAUCGAUGAAAACGAAAGAAGAUCCGUUUACUUCAUUAGAAUCUAUAAAUAAUAAAAGACAACAGCCCAAUGAAUUUGAAUUUCUACUACAAGAUAAGCCAAAUUUUCAAUUUCAAAUGAUAAAUGCAAUACAGCAAACUAUUCCUUUUGUGUUAUAUCUACAUAAAUUGCAUUCCGAAGAAAAAAUGCAACUAGUAAAUAAUAUGCUCGAUUGUUUGUUUCAAGAAAAGCCUCCGUGUCAUAACGUUCGUCAGCAAAUUUUAUUUCCAUUCUUACCACCCGAGGAUGAUAAUCGCGGACAGUUUCCAUGUAUGUUUUCUGAAAAUUUUAAUCAAACAGUUACAAUACCAUAUUAUUUAAAAAAAGUUAUUUUACCUAAUAAUUUUGUUGGUCUUCUACAGAUUUCGAUGUUACCACCAAUUACUAAUGAACUAAAGGAUCAAGUUAACUUUGUUAUACCACUGCAUAAUUCAAAUUCACUGUCAGAAUCAAACAUAAAUAACAAUAAUCACCCAUCACGAAUUGAUAUUAAAAAAAUGCAAACAAACUAAGGCAGGGAUCAGAAUUUUAAGUUUGUUUCAAAAAAUAGUGAUACAAAUGAUCAGGCCUGGAAGAGUGAACGACAAAAAUAAAGAAAAUGCGAUUGGAUUACUGAUGCUUGAUAAAGACAAAAAUAAAAAUAAUUCUGAUGUGACAGAA
RNA transcript from Nasonia vitripennis (jewel wasp), 4476 nucleotides. It is a transcript of the gene named serine protease gd-like, with no coding region annotated. The transcript is spliced from 9 exons. The record is from RefSeq and is a predicted model, not a curated record. NCBI's taxonomy places the organism in Eukaryota, Metazoa, Arthropoda, Insecta, Hymenoptera, Pteromalidae.